UUUGAGGUAAUUACUAAGUUGUCUCCUCCUAUCUCCAUGAAGGAUGCUAUAGGAUUCCCUAUUUAUGUGGGAUUUUACAGACGAUUCAUUAAAGAUUUCACAAAAAUUGCUCAUUCCUUGUCCAAAAUCCUUGAAAAAGAGGUAAAAUUUGAAUUUGAUGAUUAGUGUUUAAAGGCAUUCAAUUCCCUCAAGGAACUCCUCAUUGCGGCUCCUAUUAUUGUUUCCCCGGACUAGUCCUCACUCUUUGAUCUAAUGUGUGAUGCAAGUGGAAUUUCUCUAGGUGUUGCUAGGCCAACAAAGAGAGGAUUUGUUCUAUCCAAUCUACUAUGCAAGCAAAUCUUUGAAUAAUGCCCAACAUAAAUAUACAAUUAUGGAACAACAGCUAUUUGUGGUGGUCUAUGCUUUUGAAAAAUUUAGCGCUUACUUAUUGGGUAUGAAAGUUGUUGUGCAUACAGACCACGCUGCCCUUAUGUACCUCAUGGAAAAGAAAGAGACUGAACCACACUUGAUUAGGUGUAUCUUACUAUUAUAAGAGUUUAGUUUUGAGGUGAAGGAUAUAAAGGGUUGAGAAAACCAAGUGUCCGACCAACUCCCCCCCUGAAAAUAAUCAAUAGAAUUUGGGUGAGAUUGAGAUUGAUAACACCUUCCCCGAUGAGUUAGUCAUGUCAAUCUCGAGAAAUUUUGCACCUUGGUAUGCAGAUUAUGCAAACCAUGUUAUAAACUAUAAUAAAAUAAAAUGGUUAUUAUUUGAUAUAAAGUAGUAUAUUUGGGAUGAACCAUUUUUGUUUAGGGAAUGUGUAGAUGGUAUGGUUCUCAAAGUGAUAAGAAAGAAUGAAAGAUAUACUUAAAGUUUGUCACUCCUCCCGUUUCAGUGGACACAAUGAGAGAUUCGGACCGCCACCCAAAUUCUUCAAUGUAGUUAUUAUUGGACUACCAUUUAUAGGGAUGUUAUUGAGAUAGACAAAUUAUGUCAUAAAUUCCAAUUGCAAAGCUGAGACUUGAGAGGGCAUGAGAUGCCCCUGGACCAUACGUCAAAGUUAAACUAUUUGAUGUAUGGGGCAUUGAUUUCAUGGGCCCAUUUUAAGAUCUUUGCGUAACAUAUACAUCUUAGUGGUGGUGGACUAUGUCUCUAAAUAGAUAGAGGUUAUUGCUCAUUUGAAAAACAAAAUCAAAAGUGUCCCUUUCUUCUUGAAAAAAAUACAUCUUUACAAGGUUUGGGAUGCUGUAAGCCAUAAUAAGCGAUGGAGGCUCACAUUUUUACAAUUGAGUUUUCAACACUAUUCUUGACUAGUAUAGGCUGAAGCACAAGGUUGAUACCUCAUAUAGAUCCCAAAUGAGUGGCUAAGUCGAGGUGUACAAUGCAACUAGAUGAUGUGAUUUGGGCUUAUAGGAUAGCUUUAAAAACUCCGAUUGGAAUGUACCUAUCCUAAUUAGUGUUUGGGAAUGCAUGUCACCUAUUUAAUUAGAGCAUAAAGCAUGGUGGGCUUUGGAAAAAUUAAAUAUUGAUUGGGUUGAUGCAUCAAAGUCAAGAGUGACUCAACUCUAUGAGUUUGAUUUUUUUUCUAAAGGCCAAUGAAAGCUCCAUUUUGUAUAAGGAAAGAAUGAAGAUGUGGAAUGAUACCAAAAUUAUAAGGAGAAAUUUCAUGUUGGGAAUGGAAUACUCCAUUAUAAUUUUUGGUUGAAGCUUUUUGUGAUAAAGCUUGGAUCCAAGCAGUUGGGUCCCUUUGUGGUUACAACGUUGUAUCCCAAUGGAGCGAUCGAGUUUGAAGACCUUAAGAAAUUUUUUUUGUAGUGAAUGGGAAAAGUCUAAAACAUUACAAUGUAGGUGGACCCGGGGCAGCCAAAAUUGAGUUAUUGCGCUUCAAGAAUCAAUAAUGAUGAUAAAAAACAUUUUUUCACGAUGCUGAAUGAUGCGCUUGAUGGGAGGCAACCUAUUAUUUUGAUGUUUUUGAAAUAUUUUUUUUGAUAAGUUCACAUAAUUUGGAUGCUUUGCAGGUAUUUUAGACUAAUUGGAAGCAAAAAAUAAGGGGAAAUCCAGUUUAGAUGUAUGGUAGCCAUGUAGAAAAAUAUUGCAAAAUAGGGAGCAUAAGUCCUCAAGUACUAUGAUCGCGAUUGUAUUGAGUCUGUCGCAAUAGCGCUAGUGUAUCUAAAAUGCAUAUUUGCCCUUGAUGUGAUAUUAGGGAGACUCUUUAACCAUUCUCAGGCUUUUGUGUUAUGCAGUAAGGACACUUCAAGUCAUGUGUUAGGGGUAUUGUGUAUGUAAUCCUUUAGUGUGCAUUGGUUGGGAAUAUUUAAAUUUUGUUCACACUGAGUAUGAAGAUUUUUUACAUUAAUUAUUUCAUUUUUAUCUUUUUAUUUAUCUUUUGAUGUGGUGUUGGAUGUGACAUUCCCUAUGAUAGACUGAGUGAUGACAUUCUUAAGGAAAAAUAUUGUGUUGGGGUUUUGAGCUAUUAAUGCAGGGGAAGUUUGAGUACCAGGGGCAUUAUAUUUUUGAAUAAUAUUAUUUCUAUGGUGAAGUGUUAAUAUCCAUAUAGUUUGCCCUUAUAGGAUCUCAAAUGUAAGAUGGCGGCUUAAAUUGGUGCCAAAAAUAGUUAAUCUUACGUGGUGAAAAGCGAAGCCAGAACCCCUCCUCCGUUUAAAUUUUGUUAUGAAAAUCAAGGGCAUGGAUAUGAAUUAUUUUGUAACAACACUUUACCUCUUUUUGUGACUCCAAAUUCUUUAGUAGGUAGUGUGUGGUUAUUAACUAUUUUUCCUCAAAUAGGAGAUACAAUUGAUCCUCCUAGAAAAGUUUACAUGCCAUUCAUGGUGAGCAUAGUUGAUUGAUUCUCAUAUGUACUUGUGACAUCUAGAACUUUCCCCACUGGUAUUUUAAAGCUAAUGUUAAUUACACAUAGUUGGAAGAAAGAACUUAGGCAUUCUUUAUGAACAUGGAAAUCAACUUUAGCCUAGAAACCUUACCCGUUCAUGAAUGGUACCCUAGUCACCUCUUUAGAGCGUUUGAAACCUUUCUUUAGCAAUCUCAUUGCAAGCCUUGAACCAUUUAAAAUUUAUCCCACUUUUGAACCCUAACUUCCUAAACUUAAAAAUGCAAUUUGAGGCUAAAAGCCUAUGAUGGGGGUGGUAAAUCUUGGAAGAGGUUAUCUUAGGCCACAAUAAUGAAAGUAAGUACAAAAAGAUUAAUAAUGAAGACAAAUGAAUGAGAAAAAUAAAGGAACCAACAAAAGAACGAAAAAUAUGAGAUUACACAAAGUAAAGGUAUGAGAAGAAACUGCUUUCAAAAGAUGGAUGAAACAAUGUGGUAAGAGAAGGCACAUGAGUAAAUAAGGUAUGAAUGAAGUGGCCCAUAACCCAAAGUUUGAUUUAAUAAUGUUUUAUGUGGUGUUCAAGGAGGGUGUUUUAAAUUUUAUACAAAAAAAUUUAUCCUACCUUUCACCGAGUCAAUAUUAGAAGCUAGAAAAAGUGUUUUGAGAUCUUUAACCAAGUAUUUUAAGUUAAUAUUGAUUGAAAAUAAGGGAAAGCAUAUGCCAUGAUACUUGUGUGUAUGGAGAAAUUCUUUGUGAGUGUGAGAGCUUGCAUAUUUGUCCCUCAUUACCUAAUUGAAAUUAAGGUGUGUUAGGACUUCCCUUUCAUGAGAAGGCAUGUAACCUAAUAAAGGCUAGUGAAGUUGUCAAUUUCCAAAAAAUAAGGCAAAGACGUGUAGUUAAGUCAGUAUUUAUAGAGAGUCACCUCUGGAGAGUUAGUAGUUGUUGCUUGUUUGUUCUUAAAAGUCUUUUGCAUCCCAAAAAAUGUGGUUGAUUUUGAGAGAAGUAGAAAGAAUGGUUCCUCCCAUGAUUUUUUGGCUAAUUGUUAGUGCUAAUCAAGUUUAGAAUCAUUGGUGAUCAUUUGGUUGUACGAAUGGGCUUAUAAGUGAAGUAGUAUCAUUGAGUAUUGAGUAGUGUUGCUUGAGGACAAGGAAUAUUUAAUUUGGGGUGUUGAUGAGUGGAAAAUUAUUCAUUCAUUUACAUCCACAUUCUAGCACACUAUGAUGAAUUAAUUGUUUGCAUGAGGCAAAUUCUUGAUUUAAAUGCAUUAAUGUUUUGUAUUUGUGAUAUUGCAGUUAAUUUAAUGAAAAUCAAUUGUGACAAAAUUGGAAGAGAAGUAAAUUGAGCAAAAAUAGCAUGAGAACAAAAGAUUUGGCCCUGGAGGUGACCCUCCGAUGCCACAUUCGUGCUCUGAGGUUUGCGAAUGCAAUUAGAAGUCAAGUCAAACCUUGGCGAUCACAAGAUGACCAUCAUAAUUUUGGUAGUCGCAAACACAAUCAAUAGAUGGCAAUAACAGUAGAGCAAAAAAGUUUUGAAGGUAAAUAGGAAUCUCACAGAGCUGAAUCUCAAUUCACAAAAGGCUAAAACCUUUCACAUUUUUUAGUAUCUUUCAUUAAAUUUUACAAUUUGUUGAGAGAAGAAGAAUUUAUUUUUGAGGGAUAAAACAAAUGUUGAGUUGGUUCCAAG
Molecule: long non-coding RNA, 4487 nt
Filed under: Capsicum annuum
Lineage: Eukaryota; Viridiplantae; Streptophyta; Magnoliopsida; Solanales; Solanaceae
Description: long non-coding RNA (CANN_LNC001598)
Source: RNAcentral